AAAGCUUAGAUAAAUCAUAAUCAAAUAUUGAUGUUGUCCUAAUCAAAUCCUAAUAAAAUUCUAAUAAUCUUAAUUAAACUCUAAUAAAAUUUUAAUCAAAUUCUAAUUUAAUCCUAAUCAAAUCUUAAAUAAACCUUAGACUAAACCUCAAUAAAAUCCUAAUGAAGUCUAAAAAAAAUUCUAAUCAAAUCUUAAACCAAAUUUUAAUCAAAUCCUAAUCAAAUCUUAGAUCAAACUCUAAUUAAAUCCUAACUAAAUCCUUGUUAAAUCCUAAACCAAAUCUUAAUGAAAUACUAAUCAAAUUCUAAUCAAAUCUUAUUAAAUCCCUAUUAAAUCCUAGACCAAAUCUUAAUGAAAUUCUAAUCAAAUUCUAAUCAAAUCUUAAUCAAAUCUUAGAUCAAAUUCUAAUUAAAUCCUAAUCAAAUCUUAAUUAAAUCCUAGAUAAAAUCUUAAUGAAAUUCUAAUCAAAUUCUAAUUAAAUCUUUAAUGAUUCUUAGACCAAAUUCUAAUCAAAUUCUAAUCAAAUUCUAAACAAUUCUAAAAAAAUCUUAGAUAAAUAUUAAUCAAUUACUAUAAUUAUUUUUAAAACUUCAAUAAAUAUUAAUUUAAUCAUUGAUUUUGAUUCAAAUUUUAUUCAAAUUUUAAUCUAUAUGUAAUUAAAAAUCAUAUUAAAUUUGAAAAGAAUCAAAUUCAUUAAUUAAAAGUAAAGCUCUCAAAACAUCUUGGAUAUUGGCCAUCUUCUUUCUUUAAUUUGAAUAUCGAUCUUCCUACAAUAUUUUUUCUUUGUUGAAUCAUUCAAUUGCUUUAAAAUUUUAUUGGUAUGUAGAAUUCUAAGUCUAAAUGGCUUUCAUCAAUUUUUGCUUCAAUCAAAUCCACAAAUGUUGCAAGAUAAUGAAAACUGUUACUAACUCUAAAAAUUAAUUAUCAAAGACCAUAAUCCACAAAAACUUUCAAAACCUUCAAUCUAACCAUUCAAUUAAUAUUAAAAUUUUCACACAUAUUUAAAAUAAGAAAAAUAAUGAAUUAAAAAAUUUCAUCCAUAAAUAUACUAUAAUACUUAUAUAAUACUUAAAUUUAUAAAUAUCUUUUUAUUUUUCAAAAUUCAAAUCCAUUGAGUACAUCUUUCACUUUGAAAAGCCCUCAAAACCUCAUAAUAUCUU
Molecule: long non-coding RNA, 1160 nt
Filed under: Physcomitrium patens
Lineage: Eukaryota; Viridiplantae; Streptophyta; Bryopsida; Funariales; Funariaceae
Description: long non-coding RNA (PPAT_LNC000492)
Source: RNAcentral